This is a non-coding RNA of Sus scrofa (pig), 6948 nucleotides long. Lineage: Eukaryota; Metazoa; Chordata; Mammalia; Artiodactyla; Suidae. The record is from RefSeq and is a predicted model, not a curated record.
UGCAGUAUACACCACAGCUUGUGACAAUGCCAGAUCCUUAAUCCAUUGUGAGCCACAAUAGAAACUCCUCCAUACUCUUUAGACUUGAAAAAAAAUGAUGAUCAGAGCCACCAUGUUGAUGAUGGUAGAGCUGCUAUCAAAUUGCUAAUCCAUGUGAAGCACCUUCUCUAGAAUGUUUCAUGAGAAAGAUAUAAACUUCUGUAAUUAUUAAGCCACUGAAUUGUUUUGAUUUUUUCAUUAGGUCACUCUUACUACUACCUUGAAUUGGUACCCUGAAGUCAUAUUCUGCUCAUAAGAGAAACCCAAACUAUGUGGCAUUGUCUUAGCAGUUGAGCUUGAAAUCUGCCAUCCUUGAACAUUGUGGUAAAAUAUUUAGUAAGUCAGUUCCCUCUGAUAAAUUGGAAGGCAGGAUGAGUACUUACUAGGCCUAAAACUUCAAGGGAAAUACUUGGAGAAUGCAAAAUUUCCUGUGUUGGCUACUCCUUGAUGUUUUUAACAAGGUCUAGCAGCGUUAAAAAAUGAACUUAGUUGAGAAUCAGUAAGGUUUUCCAGCAGAGAUUAAAAGGAGGAGAAAUUUCUUUGGGGACUUUGGAGGUAUAGAAAAGUCUUUGUACCUCAAAUAGCAAAAGAGAAGGCUUUUCUUGCUCAAAUGUCUCUCAUGAAGAUUUUUUUUAAGCAAAAGAACCUAGCCCUGCUAUAAAAGAGCAGAUUGAGGUAUGGACUUCUCAGUCAAGCCUAUAUUCAGAUAGCCUCAAUGGAGGUAAAUUAAGGUAAAAUAGAUGCAUAGGAGCAAGAGAGUGAGGAAACAAUGUUAGCCUAUGUGCUAUGUCUAGAAAAGAACUUAUGGGUAGAGCUGCUGGCAUAUGAAGUUGAUAGCAAACAAAUACAUCUGGAGCUUUCUAAAUUUUUGAAGAAGUCAUUUUGCCAAAGAAACCAUGAGCCUAGUCUGAAAAAGUUUGUGAUUAAUCAAGCCAUACACUUUGGGUUUCCAAAUUUGCAACAAAGAUGAGUAUUCCUCAGAGGAGGCAAAGUCCCUUGUAGUCAUAAGAGGUAUGACAUAGGAGGUAGUAUUUAAAAACCCUAUCCCUAUCAGAGAAUUACAUCAAUGACCAUGGAAAACAAUGGAUGUGAGAGUUCUUACCAGAAAGCAGAACUGGGGUUUAAUCUUCCCAGAAGGAUAGAAGUGGAAGACAGAACUUCCUCCACUGUCAGGGCAGGGGUCCUCACAAUGCCUACCCCAGUAUAUGUUUAUCAUUGCUUUCACUUCCUACCCUUCUUCUGCUACCUCUCUCCUUUACUUUUCACAGAAAUUUUACAUGCAAUAAAUGUCUUGUGUGCCUAAUUCCCUACUGGCAUCUUUUUUCCUGGAGAACUAUAUCAGUGAUAUCAGCAUUGGCCUAGGAAACCAGGUUGUAAGAUGAAGUUUGAGGACUGACUCACUCACUCCCCUUGCUGGCAAGAGGGACUCCAUCCCAGGCAGAACACUGAGCAUGGAAAAACCAUGGCACAAGAUGACUGGUCAAUGGCUAAAACUUUCACCAAUACUGAUCUGAUAAAAAGUCCUGGUGGAUGUAAAAGACCUUGAUGGUGAGAUGAUUCAGGCAUUUCAAAAGUGUGGCUGGAACAACAUCUAGAGGGACAAGGAAGUUGGCUGGUUAUUAGUAACUUGUAUGGAUGCUUAGCAGAGGUAUAAUGAAAAAAAUGAGAACAGUUAACAAGAUUAUAUAUGAGAGCCACAGGACUCUUGGCCCUUAUUUCAUGUAGUGGAAGAGUAGAAACAGCUUAGGAGUGAAAUCCGACCUUAAAAUAAUAACUUCAGGGAAUUUUAAUUCUCAGUCCAAAGAGAUCUGUUAUGCUAAGGUCAGGAUCCUAGUUGGGAAAAAUCUAAGACCACUGAAGUACAGGAGAGGGUUAUAUGGGGGCUACCAUCCUAAAAAUUUGGCUUAGAACCCAGAGCAUGAUAUAGUAACCAACUCUCCUAAUGAGUUAGAACUUCCCCAGUAUGGAAAGACAGUGUGGGUUUAUCUCCCUCAUAACAGAUGACUCCUCAGAGCAUUAACCUCAUCUCUUUCCUGGCUUCCAUGCCAGUAGUUAGGACUGAAUCCCAACAUAACCUGGAUGGAAAUGGGCUAAGCCUAAAUACGGAAGGGAAAAUUAUACCCACAAAGGAUCUGCAAGAAAAGCUAGCAGGUUUAUUAGCAGGAGAUAAGGAAUUAUGCCUGGUAUUUUAAGGGUGCUUGGUCAAGGGAUCGCAAAUAAUAUUGAAUAUAAGCAAGAAUUCACUAACUUGAAAGCACUUUCUCAAGACAUAGAAUUUAACUUCUUGAUAAGGAUGUUAGACAGGGUGAAUUUUAAGCAUGGCUUUUAAAACUUGGAGAAAGUGAUGGUCCACAGGGGUGAAAUAGAAUUGCCUGAGUUGUCAUGGCAGGUGGUAUAGGAAGAAAUGGAAAGGCUAGGGAGUGAGCAUUCUGACAUGGAUAUAUUUUGUGAGGCCAGAGGACUCACCAAAGGACUAUGCCUAGGUUCAGAGGACCCCCUGACAUGGACACUAAGGCCAUCAGGAAUCGGGUGCAAAGGGACAAACUUCACUAAUAAAUUCAAUGGUACAUUUCCCUAAAGACUAGGGAUAAUGGUAAAGAUGCAGUCAUAGAGCUGGAUUCCUUAAUGGCCAUAGGGAUGAUAGAGCCCCAAAAUAAUAGAGGACAAUUGGCAUUGCAGAAGGCAGUCAGCUACAACUACCAUAACAACUGAUUAUGUCACUGGGGCUGCCCAGGAGGCUUGACCACAGAGUUGUGGAGUUGCUUGAUAGAACAUGGUGUCCCUAGGGACAAAUAGAUGGGCACCUAACAAGGAUGCUACCUAAUAUGUACAAUCAGAAGGCAAGACUAGAGAAAUAGGAAGUUGAGAGCUAGGCUCACUUCCUGAACCUGAGUCAAUUUUCAGAUCUGGAAUCCAUUAAAUAAACACAUGGCUGGGUUGUCAGGGGUAAGAUAUUAUAGCACUGUGACAAUUCUACCCUAAAAGGGCCUGCAGCCAGAGGUGUGCUGGAGUUUAUUCUUACCAUGUCCAAUGAGUUGAAAGAUGCAUCUCUUUGCAGAUCUUUGGUGGAAGCUUGGAAUUGGCCAUGGUGGGCAUAUUGAUGCUCUGGAAAUCAGCAAACAUUACAAAAGAGAAUGUUCCCCCCUCCCCACUACCCAAUCCCAGAGGGCUAAUUAUGAAAGUAUCUACCCAUACAUCACUGUCUAUAGCCAUUUACUCAGUGACUGUAUACUGGGAAACAUAACAAUUUCCUAUUGCAAAUAAGUAAACAUAGCACUCUAUAGGCUUCUUUGAGUUGUGACGGCAAUGCAUUCCAAACCUAGGACCACUGUUAUGAUCCAAACACCUCUUACCAGUAUUGAAUGGAGCAAGAACUGGUAAAGGCUUUGUAGCAGGUUUAACUGCAAGUGCAAUCCUGCAGACUUUUUGAUGUUAAGGUUUCCAGAUUAGAAAAGAGAUGCAGGGCAUAAUUAAUGGCAAGCCUUAGUGGGAGACCUGCAAUGGAGGCUCUGCUUCUAGAGCAGAACUAUGCUAUCUGCAGCAGACACUUUUUUAGUAAUACCUUCUGGGAUAUCACUAGGCAUCCAGUGACAACAGAAUACUUGGCUCUAAAGUACCAUGUGACUCUGUGUCCAGAACUGCUGACUUGUAACAGAGUUUUGCUGAAAUUAAGUCAUAAGGAUCAGUUUGGCCCAGCAUCAGUCCAUCAUAAGAAUGAAAUGAGGAGUUCUCUUGUGGUGAACUAGGUUAAGGUUCUGGCAUUAUUACUGCAGUGGCUUGGGUUGCUGCUGUGGCAUAGGUUUGGGUUUGCUGCCUGGCUGGGAACUUCCAUGCCGUGGGCAUGGCCCCCCAGAAAAGAAUAAAGUGAAAUGGUGCCCAUCCUCUCAAUUCCCACCCCAGAGAAGGAAUUUAUGUUUCCUGUUCUGACAAUUCUAGGGUAUGUUGGUUUAGUGAUCCUGAUCUGUGAAGUAGCAUGCUCUUACCAGGGAACACAAGGAUCUCAUUGAAAUACAAGACAUGACUCCAUUUUGGGUUCUUUGUGCAUAAUAAUCAUCAGAUAAGAAGAGUCACUAUUUUUGGAGAAAUGAUUGCUUCUAAUAAACAGGAGGAGGUAGGGUUGCUUGUAUAUAAAAGAGGUAAAAUAAUAUAUAUGGGGUUUAAAGGAUCCAGUUGGACAUCUCUUGGUUCUCCCACACCAAUUGUAACCUCCCCUACCAAUUAUAAACCCAUAUCAGUUGUAAUUGUAACAACCCUGGCCUAGGAAGGGUAAAUUACCUAGGGCCCAGACCACUUAAGAAUGAGAGUUUGGGUCACACCACCUGGUGGACCCCAAGACCUGUAGAGGGGAUAGUUGAGAGAGGAAUUUAGAAUGGAUAGUGGAGGAGGGAGAAGAUGAGUACCUGUGUGGUCCUGAAACCAACUGAACCAAUGUGUGCUGUGGUUCACUCUGUUAACAUCUCUCUUCUAAGUUUCCCCUUAGGUAGAGGGGUCUACCAGAACCAUAAAGGAGCUUCUUCUGAACCUGUAUAGAUGUAUGUAUCUUUGUAGCGUAAGGGAUGGACUAUGGAAGCCAGUGAAGGUGCAUUGCUAAGAUCUCUAAAAGAGCCUACAGCAAAGAAGAUUUUUGGAUAGCAGUCUCCACCUGCCUUACCUUCCCAUCCUCAGCAGCAUUCAAACUGAGUCAUAUCCUUCCCAGGGAAGCUUCUAUCCAGUGACUGAGCAUGCUGGGGAGAUCACAACUACGUCAUUCCAUAAUCUCCUCAGGUUGUUUCAUAAGAGAGGAUGAGAAACAACAUGUAUCCAGCAUUCUGAAGGAUGCCGUUAUGGUGUUGCGUAGGUGAUUCACUAGGAUGUAUUAUCAUGUUAUGCCUCAUAUUCUUUUCCAAUCCCUUAAAAUCAGAAAAGCAGAACCAGAGGCAAGGACCAGGAUGUAUGUGAUUCAUUCAGAGAACAUUCUGCAGGAAGAACCAAUAAAGGAAACAGGAUAACAAAGAAGACAGAGCUGAGCAAGGAUGUGGUUUCAGGCAGAUUUAGCCAAACAAUCUCAAGACUGUUAAAUAGGCAAAGAAGUAGUGAAGAGGUAUGGACAAUAGGCUCCUGUGAAUCUCCAGCACCAGCUUCUCCACUUACUUGCUGUUGGAACUUUUGGAAGACACCUUAAUCUAAUACAAACCUUGACUAAAGCUCCAAAUUUGUGUUUUGACCAUGUGACUGCCCGUGGUCCAUCAUUCUUUCCAGUUCACUUCAGCUGCAAGUGAGCAGUCUUGCCACAGGAAGUAGCUUCAAUCCAGUUGCUGGCGAGGGACCAUCUCGCCAUCUCCCACAGCGCCUGGUGCAGACAUCUUUAUUGUUACUGCAGGAGACAUUGACGAGGAACAGCACUGUUUUUCUCCAAAACUGCAUCACAAAAUAAGAAUGGAGUUUUACCUCAACACUCUGAUAGACCAGCAGUGCCUUCUGCAUGGGCUGCUGAUGCAGCAGUUGGCAUGGACAUGGGAGAAAAGAUUCAGAGGAUGGAAACUACAAACACUGGGACAUGAAAAAAAUACCACUAAAGCAGCUGAACAUGCUGACGGCAACCUCAAAAUGACUUUUUUGCCAGUUUUUGCUAAAUUACACAUCUUUCCAAAGACAUCCUACAUCAAUCAGCAUUCAGAUUCAACAAGUGCUUCCCAAGACUAAUAUGGGCCAAGACAACUGUCAGGCAUGCUCAUGUAUUUAGCACAUGUAACUCCCACUACAAACCUUUGGAGUAGGCUUGAUUCCCACAGUAACCCAGCUGAGAACUGGCUUUGCUUUCUUGCUUUGGAGUCAUAGCAUCUCGUAUAUGCCAAUUGACCUGUAUUAGACAAGGAUUUUGUUUUGCUUUGUUUUUCUUACUGCUUUUUAACCAUAAAACCCAGGCAGACAUAAGCAACGGUUCUCCACCUGGGGUGAUUUGACCCUAUUGUUUACCUCUUUUAUUUUUUUAUUGAAGUACAGUUAAGAUAUUAUAUGAGUUUUAGGUAUACAACAUAUUGAUUCAAUAUUUUUAUAGAUUAUACUUCAUUUAAAGCUAUUAUAGAAUAUUGGCUAUUUUCUCCAUGGCGAUAUGUCUUUGCAGCUCAUUUAUUUUAUAGUUAGUAGUUUGUACUUUUUUUUCACUAGCCACAUCCACAGCAUAUGCAAACUCCUGGGCCAGGGAUUGCAACCUAUACUGCAGCAGUGCUGAAUCCUUUCACCCACUGUGCCAGGCCUGGGGUCAAAUCCAUGUCUCCACAGCUGGAGCCACUGCAGUCAGAUUAUUAACCCAUUUUGCCACAGAGGGAACUCCAGUAGUUUGUAUUUUUAAACCCCUACUCCUAGCUUACCACCCCUCCAUCGCUUCCCUCUCAAUACUGAAUCACCAGUUCAUUCUCUAUAGUUGUGAAUCUGUUUGUAUUUUGCAAUGUUCAUUCAUUGUUUAUUUUUUAUAUUUUUAAGAUAUUGCUUUUAUUUUUUAUUUAAUUAGUUUAUUUUUAUUAUAAUUGAUUUAGAAUGUUCUAUCAAUUUCUGCUGUACAGCAAAGCGACCCAGUCAUACAUAUAUAUAUGUGUGUGUGUGUGUGUACACAUUCUUUUUCUCAUUCUUUUUAUCCUUGAGAAUAUGAUAUAAACUGAUUAGAACCAAGUAGGCCCAAGAUGGCAGAUCUAGUUCAGUGGAAUCCUAGAUCAAUGGAAGAGGAUAGAAAGCCCAGAAAUAAACCACAUAUUUAUGGUCAACUAAUCUGUGAAAAAGGAGGCAAGAAUAUACAGUUGAGAAAGAAAGUCUCCUCAUCAGUGGUGCUGGAAAAACUGGACAGCUACGUGUAAAUGAAUGAAAUUAGCAUAUUCUCUAACACCAUGCAGAAAAAUAAACUCAAAGUAGAUUAAAGGCCUAAAUUUAAGAUAC